RNAcentral lists this long non-coding RNA (333 nucleotides) under Nicotiana benthamiana. Its description in RNAcentral is "long non-coding RNA (NBEN_LNC039912)". Lineage: Eukaryota; Viridiplantae; Streptophyta; Magnoliopsida; Solanales; Solanaceae. The record is from RNAcentral.
ACAACAUUGCAGGUCUAACCAUAGCUCUAUAAAAUUUCCCCUUGAGUUUCUGUGGAACUUUCUUGUCACACAGGACUCCUGAUGCAAGCCUCCACUAUAACCACCCCGCUCUUAUACGAUGAGUGACGUCCCCGUCAAUCUCUCUGUCCCCUGAAUCACCGACCCAAGAUAACUGACACUGUCCCUCUUGGCGAUGACCUGUGAUCCAAUCAUCACGUCCCUGCCUACUUUGCUCAGCUCGGCACUAAACUUGCACUCCAGGUAUUCUGUCUUAGAUCUGCUUAUUUUGAAACCCUUAGACUCGAGAGUCUGUCUCCAUACCUCUAACCUCUC